CCGAGUUUACAACUCCCAAACCCAAUGUGAACGUUACCAAACUGUUGCCUCGGCGGGAUCUCUGCCCCGGGUGCGUCGCAGCCCCGGACCAAGGCGCCCGCCGGAGGACCAACCAAAACUCUUAUUGUAUACCCCCCUCGCGGGUUUUUUUAUAAUCUGAGCCUUCUCGGCGCCUCUCGUAGGCGUUUCGAAAAUGAAUCA
RNAcentral lists this unclassified non-coding RNA (201 nucleotides) under soil metagenome. Its description in RNAcentral is "partial internal transcribed spacer 1". The record is from RNAcentral.